GAUGAAGAACGUAGCGAAAUGCGAUACUUGGUGUGAAUUGCAGAAUCCCGUGAACCAUCGAGUCUUUGAACGCAAGUUGCGCCUCAAGCCAUUAGGUUGAGGGAACGUCUGCCUGGGCGUCACAUAUCGUUGCCUGAUGCCAGUUUCCUCGUGAUGGGUGACUGUGCAGGGCGAAUGAUGGCUUCCCGUGAGCAUUGUUGCCUCAUGGUUGGUUGAAAAUUGAGUCCUUGGUAGGGAGCGCCGUGAUAGAUGGUGGUUGAGUGACGAACGAGACCCAAUCAUGUGAGACCCCUACCGAAUUUGGCCUUCAUGACCCACAUGCGUCUUUGGAACGCUCAUGACGAGACCUCAGGUCAGGCGGGGCUACCCGCUGAGUUUAAGCAUAUCAAUAAGCGGAGGA
RNAcentral lists this unclassified non-coding RNA (400 nucleotides) under soil metagenome. Its description in RNAcentral is "partial contains 5.8S ribosomal RNA, internal transcribed spacer 2, and large subunit ribosomal RNA". The stretch from base 1 to 122 matches the Rfam family "5.8S ribosomal RNA", at positions 35 to 154 of the family's 154-position model. The record is from RNAcentral.